This 483-nucleotide ribosomal RNA is filed under the name uncultured bacterium. RNAcentral's name for it is "partial 16S ribosomal RNA". It matches the Rfam family "Bacterial small subunit ribosomal RNA", at positions 30 to 507 of the family's 1533-position model. The record is from RNAcentral.
AUUGAACGCUGGCGGCAGGCCUAACACAUGCAAGUCGAGCGGAUGAAGGGAGCUUGCUCCUGGAUUCAGCGGCGGACGGGUGAGUAAUGCCUAGGAAUCUGCCUGGUAGUGGGGGAUAACGUCCGGAAACGGGCGCUAAUACCGCAUACGUCCUGAGGGAGAAAGUGGGGACCUUCGGACCUCACGCUAUCAGAUGAGCCUAGGUCGGAUUAGCUAGUUGGUGGGGUAAAGGCCUACCAAGGCGACGAUCCGUAACUGGUCUGAGAGGAUGAUCAGUCACACUGGAACUGAGACACGGUCCAGACUCCUACGGGAGGCAGCAGUGGGGAAUAUUGGACAAUGGGCGAAAGCCUGAUCCAGCCAUGCCGCGUGUGUGAAGAAGGUCUUCGGAUUGUAAAGCACUUUAAGUUGGGAGGAAGGGCAGUAAGUUAAUACCUUGCUGUUUUGACGUUACCAACAGAAUAAGCACCGGCUAACUUCGUG